GAUGAACGCUGGCGGCGUGCCUAAUACAUGCAAGUCGAGCGAACGGACGAGAAGCUUGCUUCUCUGAUGUUAGCGGCGGACGGGUGAGUAACACGUGGAUAACCUACCUAUAAGACUGGGAUAACUUCGGGAAACCGUAGCUAAUACCGGAUAAUAUUUUGAACCGCAUGGUUCAAAAGUGAAAGACGGUCUUGCUGUCACUUAUAGAUGGAUCCGCGCUGCAUUAGCUAGUUGGUAAGGUAACGGCUUACCAAGGCAACGAUGCAUAGCCGACCUGAGAGGGUGAUCGGCCACACUGGAACUGAGACACGGUCCAGACUCCUACGGGAGGCAGCAGUAGGGAAUCUUCCGCAAUGGGCGAAAGCCUGACGGAGCAACGCCGCGUGAGUGAUGAAGGUCUUCGGAUCGUAAAACUCUGUUAUUAGGGAAGAACAUAUGUGUAAGUAACUGUGCACAUCUUGACGGUACCUAAUCAGAAAGCCACGGCUAACUACGUGCCAGCAGCCGCGGUAAUACGUAGGUGGCAAGCGUUAUCCGGAAUUAUUGGGCGUAAAGCGCGCGUAGGCGGUUUUUUAAGUCUGAUGUGAAAGCCCACGGCUCAACCGUGGAGGGUCAUUGGAAACUGGAAAACUUGAGUGCAGAAGAGGAAAGUGGAAUUCCAUGUGUAGCGGUGAAAUGCGCAGAGAUAUGGAGGAACACCAGUGGCGAAGGCGACUUUCUGGUCUGUAACUGACGCUGAUGUGCGAAAGCGUGGGGAUCAAACAGGAUUAGAUACCCUGGUAGUCCACGCCGUAAACGAUGAGUGCUAAGUGUUAGGGGGUUUCCGCCCCUUAGUGCUGCAGCUAACGCAUUAAGCACUCCGCCUGGGGAGUACGACCGCAAGGUUGAAACUCAAAGGAAUUGACGGGGACCCGCACAAGCGGUGGAGCAUGUGGUUUAAUUCGAAGCAACGCGAAGAACCUUACCAAAUCUUGACAUCCUUUGACAACUCUAGAGAUAGAGCCUUCCCCUUCGGGGGACAAAGUGACAGGUGGUGCAUGGUUGUCGUCAGCUCGUGUCGUGAGAUGUUGGGUUAAGUCCCGCAACGAGCGCAACCCUUAAGCUUAGUUGCCAUCAUUAAGUUAGGCACUCUAAGUUGACUGCCGGUGACAAACCGGAGGAAGGUGGGGAUGACGUCAGAUCAUCAUGCCCCUUAUGAUUUGGGCUACACACGUGCUACAAUGGACAAUACAAAGGGCAGCGAAACCGCGAGGUCAAGCAAAUCCCAUAAAGUUGUUCUCAGUUCGGAUUGUAGUCUGCAACUCGACUACAUGAAGCUGGAAUCGCUAGUAAUCGUAGAUCAGCAUGCUACGGUGAAUACGUUCCCGGGUCU
Molecule: ribosomal RNA, 1372 nt
Filed under: uncultured bacterium
Lineage: Bacteria
Description: bacterial SSU rRNA
Rfam family: Bacterial small subunit ribosomal RNA
Source: RNAcentral